This 301-nucleotide ribosomal RNA is filed under the name uncultured bacterium. RNAcentral's name for it is "partial 16S ribosomal RNA". It matches the Rfam family "Bacterial small subunit ribosomal RNA", at positions 509 to 807 of the family's 1533-position model. The record is from RNAcentral.
CAGUAGCCGCGGGAAUACGAAGGUCCCGAGCGUUGUUCGGAAUCACUGGGCGUAAAGGGGGCGUAGGCGGCGUGGUAAGUCAGAUGUGAAAUCCCGGGGCUCAACCCCGGAACUGCAUCCGAUACUGCCGUGCUAGAGGAUUGGAGAGGUAGCUGGAAUUCUUGGUGUAGCAGUGAAAUGCGUGGAGAUCAAGAGGAACACUCGUGGCGAAAGCGAGCUACUGGACAAUAUCUGACGCUGAGGCUCGAAGGCCAGGGUAGCGAAAGGGAUUAGAUACCCGAGUAGUCCCUGUCUCUUAUAC